Molecule: long non-coding RNA, 1278 nt
Organism: Oreochromis aureus
Lineage: Eukaryota; Metazoa; Chordata; Actinopteri; Cichliformes; Cichlidae
Source: Ensembl
ACACUGGCUGAUGAUGAAAUACAGUCAGCUGGCAUGGUGACACUGCCAGUAUUAACCUGCAGGGCUGGACUGGGACAAAAAAAUCGGGCAUUUUGACUACAGACCGGCCCACCAGGUAUUAAAGCCAUAAAGCCUUUGAAUGAAAACAAACGCUGUUGUGACAGUGAUGUACAGUCUUGUUGGUAUAUGAUUGAUUUCUAUACAUUUUACGUCAGAUAAAAACUUUGUUCGCAAGAUUCAGAUAAUUAUUUAAUAAAAACUAGAUAUUUUAAAUGAGAAUAAGAAAGAAAAGUAUUUUUUGUGCCCCCUUUUCCCUGUUAAUGCCCUACCUGCCCCCCUGGCAUAACUUUGCUAGAUCCGCCCCUGCACAGUUACCAGCUGUCAGCUACUUAGAAAAGGAUCCUGGUGUUAUUUGUCUCUCAGAAACAGCUCAUAACUUCCCUUCAACUAGUGACGCAGCUGCCCCUCUGUUGGUCUUCCUUGGUCUCUUGUGUUCUGGGGGCCUCUGGACGUCUGGAGUUUUGAUCUCCUCCAUGCCUGCUUCAUGCCCUGGAGGACGGGGCAGUGGCCCCCCACACCCUCUAGCAGAUCAUUACAUGAAGGAACCUUUAAAAAAAAAACAAAAAAAAACAAGCACGUUCAUGCUCACAGGUGCACACACAGGUGAUCCAGGUGAUCGAUAUAUGUAUUUUUUUUGUCUGCUUAUUCUGUUGGUUUUUGGUUUUUUGCCCUUUUUCCCCGUCCCUCUUCUCCGCUGUUUUUCUUUCCCUCUUUCUUUCUCCCCUUUCUUUCCCCCAGUUAAGUCUGUCCCGUAUUCAGCAAGUGAAAAUAAAAUAAACAAUAAAAGGUGAAUCAAAUGGACCAUUACGGCAAGGCUGGGAUGGUCCAUUUGGUAAAGUAAAUCCGUUGGGCAUCUUUCUUCGCCUUUAGACAAUAAUUCUGAUGGCAAAAGAACCAAACGGGACAGGUAAUAAAAAAAAAAGAAAAAAAAGAAAAGGAUCCUGGUGUUAUUUGUCUCUCAGAAACAGUUCAUAACUUCCCUUCAACUCAUUCAUGUCACCUAACAGGUAAACCUGUUUCUCCAUCACCUGUUCAGCUCUGAUGAUUCAGUAAGGACAUCUCCUGGUUUCAUCUGCAUGUUUCCCUCUCAUCACAUAUCCAAACCGAUAUCAUGACCAGCAGCUUUCACAGCUGUGGCUCCAGCAAACAUCAGCUGAUACUAGAAAUUAAUAUUAAAUAAAUUCUAACAACAGCUGAUCAAGCUUAAAGGUGCUGCUG